GGAGGUUCAUCCAGGGAAUCUGUCACAACAUUCUCUUACGGAAGGUUCUUCCAGGGAAUCUGUCACAACAUUCUCUUACGGAAGGUUCUUCCAGGGAAUCUGUCACAACAUUCUCUUACGGAAGGUUCUUCCAGGGAAUCUGUCACAACAUUCUCUUACGGAAGGUUCUUCCAGGGAAUCUGUCACAACAUUCUCUUACGGAAGGUUCUUCCAGGGAAUCUGUCACAACAUUCUCUUACAGAAGGUUCUUCCAGGGAAUCGGUCACAACAUUCUCUUACGGAAGGUUCAAUGGUUUUUCAUAUUUAAACGAGUUUCUUUGACGUUUUAAACACAAUGGAUAUUUCUUUGCACGUAGAGAGUCUAGGAUUAUGAAGGUAUAUACAUUAAAUGAAUGUACAGUGACCUCACAUAGAUAGGAAAACUACAGUAGAGCUAACAAUGCAGUAAAAAUAUAUCUAAAUGUUCAGACAGAAAGUUCCAGGGUUAGAGAGAACAACCUCACUCUACAGACCAGGGUGAUAUGUUACAUAGCUGUGAACAGGACCUCGUUGGGUUGGCAAAUGGACAAAUGGGUAUUUUAACGGGCUAACAAGUAUUGGUAGCCGCUGCUGUCAUUAACAACACUGGACCUAUGUUUAAACUCAUGUCUAAAAUGGCAUCCUAUUCCCUACAUAAUGCACUACUUUAGACCGGGACCCUAUCCCCUAUAUAGUGCACUACUUUAGACCAGAGCCCUAUUCCCUAUGUAGUGCACUACUUUAGACCAGGGCCCUAUUCGAUAUAUAGUGCACUACUUUAGACCAGGGCCCUAUUCCCUACAUAGUGCACUACUUUAGACCAGGGCCCUAUUCCCUACAUAGUGCACUACUUUAGACCAGGACCCUAUCCCCUAUAUAGUGCACUACUUCAAACCAGAGCCCUAUUCCCUAUGUAGUGCACUACUUUAGACCAGAGCCCUAUCCCCUAUAUAGUGCACUACUUUAAACCAGAGCCCUAUAUAGUGCACUACUUUAGACCAGAGACCUAUUCCCUAUAUAGUGCACUACUAUAGACCAGAGCCCUAUUCCCUAUGUAGUGCACUACUAUAGACCAGAGCCCUUUUUCCCUAUAUAGUGCACUACUAUAGACCAGAGCCCUAUUCCCUAUGUAGUGCACUACUAUAGACCAGAGCCCUAUUCCCUAUAUAGUGGUACUACUUUAGACCAGGGCCCUAUUCCCUAUAUAGUGGUACUACUAUAGACCAGAGCCCUAUUCCCUAUAGUGUGCACUACUAUAGACCAGAGCCCUAUUCCCUAUAUAGUGGUACUACUAUAGACCAGAGCCCUAUUCCCUAUAGUGGUACUACUAUAGACCAGAGCCCUAUUCCCUAUAUAGUGGUACUACUUUAGACCAGGGCCCUAUUCCCUAUAUAGUGGUACUACUAUAGACCAGGGCCCUAUUCCCUAUAUAGUGCACUACUUUAGACCAGGGCCCUAUUCCCUAUAGUGGUACUACUUUAGACCAGAGCCCUAUUCCCUAUAUAGUGGUACUACUUUAGACCAGGGCCCUAUUCCCUAUAUAGUGCACUACUUUAGACCAGAGUCCAAUGGCCAACUAAGACACUUUACUGACUGGUUUAUUUAUAGCGUCAUCUUAUACUUGAAUGAUCACAGUUGAUUUAAUUGAAUGUUAGAAAUAUUUAUUUUUGUGAAAACAUUGUGAAAAUGGAUUUUCUUCUUAUUUUUUAAAAUUGAUUUAUUUUUUACUUCAGUUCAUUUUAGUAAACACUUAUAUUUCUUUAAAUUGCAUGGUUGGUUAAUGGCUUGUAAAGUAAACAUUUCACAUGUUGUGUUUGGCGCAUGUGACAAAUAAAAUUAGAUUUUGAUUUGAAACCUGCUGUGGACUAGUUACUCUCUCUUUACAUAUAUGCAA
Oncorhynchus tshawytscha (Chinook salmon) is the source of this 1912-nucleotide long non-coding RNA. The record is from Ensembl. NCBI's taxonomy places the organism in Eukaryota, Metazoa, Chordata, Actinopteri, Salmoniformes, Salmonidae.